AAAAGUCGUAACAAGGUCUCCGUUGGUGAACCAGCGGAGGGAUCAUUACCGAGUUUACAACUCCCAAACCCAAUGUGAACGUUACCAAACUGUUGCCUCGGCGGGGUCACGCCCCGGGUGCGUAAAAGCCCCGGAACCAGGCGCCCGCCGGAGGAACCAACCAAACUCUUUCUGUAGUCCCCUCGCGGACGUAUUUCUUACAGCUCUGAGCAAAAAUUCAAAAUGAAUCAAAACUUUCAACAACGGAUCUCUUGGUUCUGGCAUCGAUGAAGAACGCAGCGAAAUGCGAUAAGUAAUGUGAAUUGCANAAUUCAGUGAAUCAUCGAAUCUUUGAACGCACAUUGCGCCCGCCAGUAUUCUGGCGGGCAUGCCUGUCCGAGCGUCAUUUCAACCCUCGAACCCCUCCGGGGGAUCGGCGUUGGGGAUCGGGACCCCUCACCGGGUGCCGGCCCUGAAAUACAGUGGCGGUCUCGCCGCAGCCUCUCCUGCGCAGUAGUUUGCACAACUCGCACCGGGAGCGCGGCGCGUCCACGUCCGUAAAACACCCAACUUCUGAAAUGUUGACCUCGGAUCAGGUAGGAAUACCCGCUGAACUUAAGCAUAUCAAUAA
This 610-nucleotide ribosomal RNA is filed under the name Trichoderma hamatum. Its description in RNAcentral is "eukaryotic LSU rRNA". The stretch from base 232 to 385 matches the Rfam family "5.8S ribosomal RNA". Lineage: Eukaryota; Fungi; Ascomycota; Sordariomycetes; Hypocreales; Hypocreaceae. The record is from RNAcentral.